Molecule: ribosomal RNA, 1830 nt
Filed under: Klebsiella oxytoca
Lineage: Bacteria; Pseudomonadati; Pseudomonadota; Gammaproteobacteria; Enterobacterales; Enterobacteriaceae
Description: bacterial LSU rRNA
Rfam family: Bacterial large subunit ribosomal RNA
Source: RNAcentral
GAAUGUUAUCACGGAGACACACGGCGGGUGCUAACGUCCGUCGUGAAGAGGGAAACAACCCAGACCGCCAAGCUAAGGUCCCAAAGUCAUGGUUAAGUGGGAAACGAUGUGGGAAGGCCCAGACAGCCAGGAUGUUGGCUUAGAAGCAGCCAUCAUUUAAAGAAAGCGUAAUAGCUCACUGGUCGAGUCGGCCUGCGCGGAAGAUGUAACGGGGCUAAACCAUGCACCGAAGCUGCGGCAGCGACACUAUGUGUUGUUGGGUAGGGGAGCGUUCUGUAAGCCGUUGAAGGUGGCCUGUGAGGGUUGCUGGAGGUAUCAGAAGUGCGAAUGCUGACAUAAGUAACGAUAAUGCGGGUGAAAAACCCGCACGCCGGAAGACCAAGGGUUCCUGUCCAACGUUAAUCGGGGCAGGGUGAGUCGACCCCUAAGGCGAGGCCGAAAGGCGUAGUCGAUGGGAAACAGGUUAAUAUUCCUGUACUCGGUGUUACUGCGAAGGGGGGACGGAGAAGGCUAUGUUGGCCGGGCGACGGUUGUCCCGGUUUAAGCAUGUAGGCGGAUGUUCCAGGUAAAUCCGGAACGUUACUAACGCUGAGGUGUGAUGACGAGGCACUACGGUGCUGAAGUGACAAAUGCCCUGCUUCCAGGAAAAGCCUCUAAGCAUCAGGUAACAUCAAAUCGUACCCCAAACCGACACAGGUGGUCAGGUAGAGAAUACCAAGGCGCUUGAGAGAACUCGGGUGAAGGAACUAGGCAAAAUGGUGCCGUAACUUCGGGAGAAGGCACGCUGAUGGUAAGUGAAGUGACUUGCUCUGGAGCUGAAAUCAGUCGAAGAUACCAGCUGGCUGCAACUGUUUAUUAAAAACACAGCACUGUGCAAACACGAAAGUGGACGUAUACGGUGUGACGCCUGCCCGGUGCCGGAAGGUUAAUUGAUGGGGUUAUCCGUAAGGAGAAGCUCUUGAGUGAAGCCCCGGUAAACGGCGGCCGUAACUAUAACGGUCCUAAGGUAGCGAAAUUCCUUGUCGGGCAAGUUCCGACCUGCACGAAUGGUGUAACCAUGGCCACGCUGUCUCCACCUGAGACCCAGUGAAAUCGAAAUCGCUGUGAAGAUGCAGUGUACCCGCGGCUAGACGGAAAGACCCCGUGAACCUUUACUGCAGCUUGACACUGAACUUUGAACCUGUUUGUGCAGGAUAGGCGGGAGACAUAGAAGCAAGAGCGCCAGCUCAUGUGGAGUCAACCUUGAAAUACCGCCCUGACAUGUUUGAAGUUCUAACUCGAUGAAGACCUCAAAGAGGACAGUGUCUGGUGGGAAGUUUGACUGGGGCGGUCUCCUCCUAAAGGGUAACGGAGGAGCACGAAGGUCUGCUGAUUACGGUCGGACAUCGUAAGGUCAGUGCAAUGGCAUAAGCAGGCUUGACUGCGAGAGCAACAACUCGAGCAGGUGCGAAAGCAGGUCAUAGUGAUCCGGUGGUUCUGAAUGGAAAGGCCAUCGCUCAACGGAUAAAAGGUACUCUGGGGAUAACAGGCUGAUACCGCCCAAGAGUUCAUAUCGACGGCGGUGUUUGGCACCUCGAUGUCGGCUCAUCACAUCCUGGGGCUGAAGUUGGUCCCAAGGGUAUGGCUGUUCGCCAUUUAAAGUGGUACGCGAGCUGGGUUCAAAACGUCGUGAGACAGUUUGGUCCCUAUCUACCGCGGGCGUAGGAUAAUUGAGAGGGAUUGCUCCUAGUACGAGAGGACCGGAGUGAACGAACCGCUGGUUUACGGGUUGUCAUGCCAAUGGCACGGCCCGGCAGCCAAGUUCGGAACUGGAUAACCGCUGAAUUUUUU